UGGUGUAAUAUACUAGAUUUUGGUAUAAAAAUAAAAAUAAAUAAAAAUAGUGUGAGUGUAAUAUACCAGAUUUUGGUAUAAAAAUAAAAGUAAAUAAAAAUAGUGUGAGAUACUAUUUUUAUUUGAUUUUUGAGAAAAAAAGUAUAAGUCUAUAAUGACUUGUGCUGAAAUCGGAAUGAAAACAGAAGAUUUAUAAUUUUCUGUUGAAAACGAGACAGAAAAAUUAGCAAAAAAAUACAGAGUCUCAGAAAAUUAUGAAAAUUGGAGGAUAAAUCAGAAAUAUUUUUACGAGGCUAGAUUUAAAGUUUCAUAUUUUUCUGACACCCGAAAGUUGAGAAAUAAAAUCCGAAAUCUAUCUGAUAAAGAUUACAGUUCGGUGACCAAACGGGGUCGAAACUGAAAACUUAAAGUAUAUUCUUGUUCGGUACGUUAAACUGAAUAUGACUGUCAAAUUUGAGCUCAAACGGAUACUCUGAGAGCUCCGGCGAAAGAUAUCAGAUUUUAAGUUGCCUGGAGUGAAUAGUGUUUUUGGAAGCUUCAUAGGAAACUUGGAGAGCAAGUUUCCUCUCUAU
RNAcentral lists this long non-coding RNA (572 nucleotides) under Ananas comosus (pineapple). Its description in RNAcentral is "long non-coding RNA (ACOM_LNC042969)". Lineage: Eukaryota; Viridiplantae; Streptophyta; Magnoliopsida; Poales; Bromeliaceae. The record is from RNAcentral.